This 3174-nucleotide ribosomal RNA is filed under the name Chloroflexota bacterium. RNAcentral's name for it is "bacterial LSU rRNA". It matches the Rfam family "Bacterial large subunit ribosomal RNA", at positions 1 to 2558 of the family's 2925-position model. The record is from RNAcentral. Lineage: Bacteria; Bacillati; Chloroflexota.
GGUCAAGUUAGUAAGGGUCCACGGUGGAUGCCUUGGGGCCAGGAGCCGAAGAAGGGCGUGGCAAGACUGCGAAAAGCCCCGGUCAGCUGUCUAGCGAGCUUAGCCGGGGAUGCCCGAAUGGGGAAACCCCCCUUGGGUCAAUCCAAGGGACCCCGAUUUAUCGGGGGGGUAAGCGGGUGAACUGAAACAUCUAAGUAACCCGAGGAAAAUAAAUCAACCGAGAUUCCCAAAGUAGUGGCGAACGAAAUGGGAAUAGCCCAAACCUUCCGGGCUUAGUGGGCUGAGGCCCUAUGUCCGGAGGGGGUUGUAACACACACCUGUUCCAGCCUCAGGAGGAGCAAGGAGUAAGAAACUCGUUCCUUAGCCGAACGAUCCUGGAAAGGACGACCGGAGAAGGUGAUAGUCCUGUAAGCGAAAGGGAACGAGCUCCUGGUGUGCUGUUGAGUACCACGGGACACGUGAAAUCNUGUNNGAANCUGGGNNGACCACNNUCCAAGNCUAAAUACUACCUNNNNACCGAUAGUGAACCAGUACCGUGAGGGAAAGGUGAAAAGUACCCCAGAUGGGGAGUGAAAUAGACCUGAAACCGUGGACUUACAAGCCGUGGGAGUCCUUCCUUGGAAGGAUGACUGCGUGCCUUUUGAAGAAUGAGCCGGCGAGUUAAUCUAGGCAGCUUGGUUAAGGAGCAUGAGUUCCGGAGCCGAAGCGAAAGCGAGUCCGAAUAGGGCGUGCCGCGGGCGGCGGCAAAUCCUGCGGAGGAAGACCGAGAUGACGCAAACCUUGUGCCAGAGUGCCUUCGGGCGCUUGAAGCACGUUCAGGUGCGCUGACUUUCGGGAANAAUCCAAAGGUCGAGCCGCCACUAUGCCUGCAGUGUUGUCUGGAUUAGACCCGAAACCGGGUGAGCUACCCAUGGCCAGGCUGAAACCCCGAUAAUAUCGGGGCGAAGGGCCGAACCCGUGUCUGGUACAAAAGGCUGGGAUGAGCUGUGGGUAGAGGUGAAAUGCCAAUCGAACUCGGAGAUAGCUGGUUCUCCCCGAAAUGUAUUUAGGUACAGCCUCAAGGUAGUAUUGGGGAGGUAGGGCACUGGAUGGACUAGGGGGCGUGAGCCUACCAACUCCAACCAAACCACGAAUGCCUUUAAUAUGGUCCUUGGGAGUGAGACAGUGGGGGAUAAGCUCCAUUGUCGAGAGGGAAACAGCCCAGAUCGCAGGCUAAGGUCCCUAAGUGUGAACUAAGUGUGAAAGGAAGUGGGAUUCCNAAAACAGCUAGGAGGUUGGCUUAGAAGCAGCCACCCUUUAAAGAGUGCGUAACAGCUCACUAGUCGAGGGAUCCUGCGCCGAAAAUGUAACGGGGCUAAAGUUCACCACCGAAGCCGCGGGAUUCGCCUUUAUAGGCGGAUCGGUAGGGGAGCGUUGCCAGGGCAGUGAAGCUAAGAUGUGAGUCUUGGUGGAGCGCUGGGAAGUGAGAAUGCCGGCAUGAGUAGCGACAAUCCUGGUGAGAAUCCAGGACACCGAAAGCCUAAGGUUUCCUACGCAACGUUGAUCGGCGUAGGGUAAGUCGGGCCUAAGCCAUAGCGUACAAGCGAAGGCGAUGGACAACGGGUCAAAAUUCCCGUACCACCGUUAUAUCGUUUUAAGGCAAAGGGGGGACGCGGGAAGAUAGGCGGAGCGCGCCCAUUGGACAUGGUGCGUUUAGCCCUGAAGGCCAUGCCAGGAUAGGUAAAUCCGUUCUGGCGUUACGAGCUGAGGGGGCCGAAAACUCUAGGGCCAGAGCCCUGGGGGAUUCCGUUGAUUCUAUGCCGCCGAGAAAAGCCUCGUUGCUAGAGAUAACGGUGACCGUACCGAAAACCGACACAGGUAGGCAGGGGUAAAUGUCCCCAGGUGAACGAGCGAACCCUCGUUAAGGAACUCGACAACUUGGCCCUGUAACUUUGGGAGAAAGGGUGCCCGUGGGGUGAAGUCCGCUUGCCGGACCAGCCUUUGCGGGCCGCAGUUAAGAGGCCCAGGCGACUGUUUAUCAAAAACACAGGUCUCUGCAAAGCCGAAAGGCGACGUAUAGGGGCUGACGCCUGCCCAGUGCCGGAAGGUUAAGAGGAAAGGUUCGUCAAGCUUAGGCGAGACAAAGCUUUGAAUCGAAGCCCCGGUGAACGGCGGCCGUAACUAUAACGGUCGACCAGUGCAGCGCAAAUGCGAAGGCUUGGGAGCGAUCCCGGCUUUCAAAGCGACUGCUCUAGGCCGUUACAAAAUCUGGCUAUAUGCUGGAAACUCUGAGUAUCCUGGACUACUAGCGGAGUCAGGAAGGGCUUUGCCCUCUCUUGGCGGACGCCAUGGCAAAACCUUGGCGUCUUCUCGCCCGUAUGGGGUGGGACCGCAGUGAAAAUGUCCCAGGUGCAGACAAUCAGCAGGAAAGACCCGCGCGGUAUCCGCUCGGGAAUCCUCAGAGACCAUACGCCAGACUCGCCGAACGGAACCGGCGAGAAGAGAUGGUCCGACCUGCAUGGCGACAUGCAGAGGCCGGCAGAAAUGUCCGGCCCACCUUGGCAAGCUGCGCUUGUCGGGGGAGUAACAAAGUGCCUAAGGUAGCGAAAUCCCUUGUCGGGUAAGUUCCGACCCGCACGAAUGGCGUAACGACCUGGGCGUUGUCUCAACGAGGGGCUCGGUGAAAUUGCAAGGCCAGUGAAGAUGCUGGCUACCCGCGACAGGACAAAAAGACCCCGUGGAGCUUUACUGUAGCUUGGCAGUGGACUGCGGUUAUGAAUGUGUAGGAUAGGCGGGAGACUAAGAAACCUUGACGCCAGUCAGGGUGGAGUCGUCCUUGAAAUACCGCUCUUUUAUGAUCUCGGCCCUAAUCCGUCGCAAAACGGAGACCCUGCCAGGUGGGCAGUUUGACUGGGGCGGUCGCCUCCUAAAAGGUAACGGAGGCGCCCAAAGGUUCCCUCAAGGUGGAUGGAAAUCACCUUUAGAGUGCAUUGGCAUAAGGGAGCUUGACUGUGAGACCUACAAGUCGAGCAGAGACGAAAGUCGGGCAAAGUGAUCCUACGGUUCCGUGUGGAAGGGCCGUGGCUUAACGGAUAAAAGCUACCCCGGGGAUAACAGGCUAAUCUCGCCCAAGAGUUCACAUCGACGGCGAGGUUUGGCACCUCGAUGUCGGCUCGUCGCAUCCUGGGGCUGAAG